GUAAGUCAGAGAAGACACUUUGGUAAUUGCUGAAAUCUUGACUGUAUUAAGACUGACUGUCCCUGUGUUCUGCUGUGGCACCAGCUGACAGUGAUGAAAUCUAUAGAAGUAGGGCACAUUUCCAUAACAUGAAUAUUCAGGGUUGGUGAUGCAAGAAUUAUUAUUAAACCACUGGGAAGGAACACAUUCUCAUUAUUUGAUUGAAUACUAAAUGCUGCCUUUUAAAAAUAAUUCAGUAUGAAUACUUUGAUAAUGAGGAAAGAGAGAUGCUUGGAAAAAAAACUCAUACUUUUUUUUUCUCUGGUACGUAAGAAGGAAAUUAAAUUAAGUUUAAAAUAUAUAGCAUGUCUACAGGAACUAUUUUGGAACCAUUAGCUAUAUUUCAUCUAAACCUGUCUUACAUAUAUCGAAGUAUAAUGUAAUAGAAGCCUGAAUAGAGUCUGAUGUAAAUGAUUUAUAUAAAAAUAAAUUAUGUAAAGAAGUAUAAAUAAAGACCCCUGAAAAUAAAUAAAAUGCCUAUUACAAAUAAUAACUUGAAAAAAACUUUAAAAAACCCAAUAUUUGUUAGACGUUAGAUGUGUUUGCUACAGUUCUGAGUUGGAUGUGUAUGCUGCAUUUCUGUAAAUGACACAGUUUAUAUAUUUCAAGGACCCCUGGCACCUCUAAGAACCCUGGGUAUUCCUCAAAACUGAGUGUACUUCAUAUAUGAUGACAGUUCAGACAGCUGAAGUGCCAUCAUAUAUGAAGUACAUCCAGUUCCUCAUAGCCAAGAUGUUAUGCAUAGGAAAUAGAAAAGAAAGGAAAAUGAUUUGAUUCAUUCAUCCAUCAAACAUGAAUCAAGCCUCUGCUACAUGCCAGACAGUGCACAAGGCUCUGGUCCUGCACAAAUUAAAUAAACAAGGUCCUUGUCCUCUAAAAACUGAUGAUCUAAAGGAGGGUGCAGGCAAGUAAACAGAUUUUCAACAGAAAAUGGUAUGUAUUCUGUAAUAGAGGUAAGCUCAGAUGCCAUUGUGGAAAAUUUCUCUUCCUUUUUGCUGGUUUCUCAUCGUUCCUUCUAGCUCUUCUCCCCUAAUCAGUUUAGGUGGGGUUGUCCCUUAGGCCCAGAUUGGGUUUGUACCCUUUUGUUUCUCUUUCUACCUCCUCCUUCCUUGAGUGUGCUAACUCCACCCUUGAUUUACUAACUGGGUUGUGCUUCCUUGUCUGCCCUCCUAAAGAUGGCCAUCCCUUGUUAGUGCCUUGAGUUUUCACUUCCUCCUUCUCCUCAUUCUCUUCUCUCUUACAAAAAUGAAGCCACUGAAUGCCCAGUUACUGAGGUUCAUGCUUUCACUAGUAAACCAAAUACAUAUUGUGUUAAUGCAUCUACUAGGUGUUCCUAUUUGUUAUCACAACUAUGCAUAGGCAUCUAUGUAGCAAUUUUACUUUAAAUGAAAAGUCUUGCAUACUACAAAUCUUUUAUUUGAAAAGGUAGAGGGGUACAAGGCUGAAAUUUCAGACAUUGUCCCUGGAAGCUCCCUCUGGUUGCACUAUUUAGGUAAAAAACAAAUGAACAAGAGACUAGGUGAGGCAAAGUCAGUGAGAGACUGGAACAGAAGUCACAGACAAUUCUUUUUAGCACAACAGCCACUCAUCCCAUAUUUAUUCUUCCCAUAUUUCUUAAAAGGACAUCUGCUCUGUGUGGCGCAUGGCAGUGGGAUGUAUUGGGAAGAAUCUGGAUUUUGGAAUCAUACUGUGUUCAAAUCAGAGACUCAGCUGUUGCAAAAAUAAAAAUGCAUGUGCAAACACGUAACACACUGCUUGGCUUCAGAUCUGUGAUCAAUACAUGUGUUUCUUCAUUAUUUUCUUUCUUUCCUUCACUAAGAGAGAUAAUAAACAGUAAUCAUUUACACAUAUCUGAGAAAAGAAGCUUUGGAGAGAGAGCAACGAGUGUUUCUGGAACUGACCUCCACACAGAGUAAAUUCAGAAAUCAGCAGAUCUACAUUAUUUAUUCAAAGAGAGAACUGCAUUGUAAUCACUUUCCUGGAUGCAUGGGGUGAAUGAGUGACAGCAAAUACCUCAGUCAUUGUGAGAUGGCAACCUGAAGUAGGUGCAUCUGAGAAAAAGGGCAGAGACCUCCCCAAAGGUCAAACAGAAGCAAGGCAGCAGGCAGCAUUGCAGGGGAGGCAACUGCUGGGAAAGACACAGCAAGGAAGAGCUAUUAUGGGAUGCCUCUCUGUGAGGUAGGGAGUGACUGUAUAUAUGUUUUGAGACAUCAGAUCCUCCUCACCAAAGAGCCACUCUGGAAAUUCUUGUUUUGACUUCAUCCUUUAAGAUUUUAAAAAGCAGUACCCUGAAGCUGUUUUCUUUGUUUUACUUUGCUUUAAUGACUUAACAGCAUUACAACAUGGGUUUAAGUGCAAGAGAGUUUAGAAAACCUUUAGAAAAAUAAGUCAAGCAAAGUUCAAAAGAAAACAUGAAUCUUAUGCUAAUUUUACCUGUAGGACUCAGGGCAGAAGUGGCCAAGCUUUUUGGCAGAAGGCACUGUUGAAAGGUAUUGUGUGGUUGUGGCGGAGACAGUGGGAGGAUGAAGUGAAUCAGAAACUGUUGUUCUGUCUGGGAUGAGGGGAAAAUAUCUGAAACUACUCCUUCAUUGAGCAGAGGGCCAAGGAUAGAACCCCAAAGAACCAAACUAAACUCAAUCAUAGCAAAACAUCCUCUUUCUUUUUGUUUCUGCUGCUACACAGAAGAGAUGAGGUGGGGAUGGUCCAUGAAGAUGAAUGACUGCUUCCUAAGACACUGUGGCGAGGAGGCUGUGGAAAGAUGGCAGCAGCAGACUGUGGAGAGAAGUCAAUUCACUGGCAGCUUGGCACUUCCCCAGGUAAUCCAUUCUCAGAGUUUCUGUUCAAUCAAAAACUGUAGCUUCUUUGGUUUAGGAGUUUCCUGAGCCUGUCUCAGGGCAAUAACGCCUUCUGGGUUAACUGGAGACUUCGUCAGAGACAGAUGGGAGCUAACUCCAAAGAGUCAUCAUGAUAACUGCGGUUGUUCAGAUUCUUUAUUUCUGGGCAUCACAUAGAAUUUAGAUUGGGACUCCUUUUCUAUCUAACUGAGGGAUGGGAAUCAUAAUUGCAUAUUUAAUUUUGUCAUUAGAAAUGAUAAUAAACUCAUUGCCAUUAUACCACAUGGUUUAAAAAUAAUCUGUUAGAGCAUUUGUUUCUUGUUGUUCAAUGUAACCAACCUUAUUAAAGACCUUGUAUCAACAGUGUUGUUUUGUUUUGUGGCAUAAUUAAAAUCAUAUUUCUGACUUGUGUAACGUAUAAACAC
This 3298-nucleotide long non-coding RNA is filed under the name Homo sapiens (human). Its description in RNAcentral is "HSALNT0127480". Lineage: Eukaryota; Metazoa; Chordata; Mammalia; Primates; Hominidae. The record is from RNAcentral.